GAGUUUGAUCUUGGCUCAGAGUGAACGCUGGCGGCAGGCCUAACACAUGCAAGUCGAACGGCAGCACAGUCCCGCAAGGGAUGGGUGGCGAGUGGCGGACGGGUGAGGAAUACAUCGGAAUCUACCUUGUCGUGGGGGAUAACGUAGGGAAACUUACGCUAAUACCGCAUACGACCUACGGGUGAAAGCGGCGGACCGCAAGGCGUCGCGCGAUUGGAUGAGCCGAUGUCCGAUUAGCUAGUUGGCGGGGUAAAGGCCCACCAAGGCGACGAUCGGUAGCUGGUCUGAGAGGAUGAUCAGCCACACUGGAACUGAGACACGGUCCAGACUCCUACGGGAGGCAGCAGUGGGGAAUAUUGGACAAUGGUGGAAACACUGAUCCAGCCAUGCCGCGUGAAGGAUGAAUGCCCUAUGGGUUGUAAACUUCUUUUAAACGGGAAAAACCCCUCUACGUGUAGAGGCUGAUGGUACCGUAAGAAUAAGGAUCGGCUAACUUCGUGCCAGCCGCCGCCGUAA
RNAcentral lists this ribosomal RNA (516 nucleotides) under uncultured Gammaproteobacteria bacterium. RNAcentral's name for it is "bacterial SSU rRNA". It matches the Rfam family "Bacterial small subunit ribosomal RNA", at positions 9 to 523 of the family's 1533-position model. Lineage: Bacteria; Pseudomonadati; Pseudomonadota; Gammaproteobacteria. The record is from RNAcentral.